UUCCUUUUUCCAGAUGUUUCCUCCAAACAAACCAAAUGAACUUGAGUUCCCGCGUGAAGAUGACCCGGCUCGAACGGCGCGAAGCUCGGACUCACGUCUGCCUUUGAACAUGCUCAUGACGCCGCGGAGGAGCGCGCGCCGCCGCCUCUUUCCCGCCGAGCCGUCGGAUUGAGCGCCGCCGCCGCCGGAGCUUCACCUCCAGACAGGACCGUACCAUUCAGCGGAAACUAACUCCGGAUAGGUUGGCGUGGAUACAAAUCUGGACAGAAGUUUGAGUCAUCUUUAUGAAUCUCAAGGCUCGCUUGAAGGCCAACGUCCACGGAGCGUAUCUGAGUCACGGACUCUGGAAUUCAUUAACGCUCACAGAGAGGCAAAUAAACCCAAAUGUUCUCUAUGGAAACAAAUCAUUCAUCAAGUUUGAUAUGAAGAGUAGCAAAGCUGUCAUCCAUCCAUCAUCCAUCCAUCAU
Long non-coding RNA from Oryzias melastigma (Indian medaka), 467 nucleotides. RefSeq lists it as uncharacterized. NCBI's taxonomy places the organism in Eukaryota, Metazoa, Chordata, Actinopteri, Beloniformes, Adrianichthyidae. The record is from RefSeq and is a predicted model, not a curated record. The transcript has 3 exons.